AUGAAAAUACUAAGUUGGAACUGCCGUGGGAUAGGCGAUCCCGCGGCAGUUCGCGAACUCCACGAUCUCCUUGAGAUCAGCUCGCCAUCUAUCCUUUGUUUAGUAGAAACUCAGUUACAAAAGGCUCGUGUUGAGUCUUCGUUCUUCCUAGGUUUUGAUUUCAGUUUUGGCGUUGGUAGUACUGGUCGCAGUGGCGGCAUUUGUAUCUUCUGGAAAAACUCUCUUGGUGUUGCAAUAAAGAACUAUUCGGAAUAUCAUGUGGAUACCUGGGUUACUGAACCAGGCAGGGAAUAA
Molecule: ribosomal RNA, 294 nt
Filed under: Triticum aestivum (bread wheat)
Lineage: Eukaryota; Viridiplantae; Streptophyta; Magnoliopsida; Poales; Poaceae
Description: partial small subunit ribosomal RNA
Source: RNAcentral